UACGAAGGGGGCUAGCGUUGCUCGGAAUCACUGGGCGUAAAGGGUGCGUAGGCGGGUCUUUAAGUCAGGGGUGAAAUCCUGGAGCUCAACUCCAGAACUGCCUUUGAUACUGAAGAUCUUGAGUUCGGGAGAGGUGAGUGGAACUGCGAGUGUAGAGGUGAAAUUCGUAGAUAUUCGCAAGAACACCAGUGGCGAAGGCGGCUCACUGGCCCGAUACUGACGCUGAGGCACGAAAGCGUGGGGAAGCAAACAG
Molecule: ribosomal RNA, 253 nt
Filed under: uncultured bacterium
Lineage: Bacteria
Description: partial 16S ribosomal RNA
Rfam family: Bacterial small subunit ribosomal RNA
Source: RNAcentral